CGUGGAGACAGGUGGUGCAUGGCUGUCGUCAGCUCGUGUCGUGAAAUGUUGGGUUAAGUCCCGCAACGAGCGCAACCCUCACCUCUUGUUGCCAUCAGGUCAUGCUGGGCACUCUAGAGGAACUGCCCCGGUCAACGGGGAGGAAGGCGGGGAUGACGUCAAGUCAUCAUGCCCCUUACGUCCUGGGCUACACACGUGCUACAAUGGCCGGUACAAAGGGAUGCCACACCGCGAGGUAGAGCUAAACCCAAAAAGCCGGUCUAAGUUCAGAUUGGAGUCUGCAACUCGACUCCAUGAAGGAGGAAUCGCUAGUAAUCGCGUAUCAGCACGACACGGUGAAUACGUUCCCGGGCCUUGUACACACCGCCCGUCACACCACGAAAGCCUGCUGUACUCGAAGUCGCUGAG
RNAcentral lists this ribosomal RNA (408 nucleotides) under uncultured Methylomirabilota bacterium. Its description in RNAcentral is "bacterial SSU rRNA". It matches the Rfam family "Bacterial small subunit ribosomal RNA", at positions 1027 to 1434 of the family's 1533-position model. The record is from RNAcentral. Lineage: Bacteria; Methylomirabilota (SeqCode).